RNAcentral lists this ribosomal RNA (433 nucleotides) under uncultured bacterium. Its description in RNAcentral is "partial 16S ribosomal RNA". It matches the Rfam family "Bacterial small subunit ribosomal RNA", at positions 29 to 507 of the family's 1533-position model. The record is from RNAcentral.
AGCGAACGCUGGCGGCAGGCCUAACACAUGCCAGUCGAACGAACUCUUCGGAGUUAGUGGCGGACGGGUGAGUACCACGUGGGAACGUGCCCUUGGGUUCGGAAUAACUCAGGGAAACUUGUCCUAAUACCGAAUGUGCCCUUCGGGGGAAAGAUUUAUGGCCAUGAGGUCGGCCCGCGUCUGAUUCGCCAGUUGGGGAGGUAACGGCUCGCCAAGGGGACGUUGAGUAGCUGGUCUGAGAGGAUGCCCAGCUACACUGGGACUGAGACACGGCCCAGACUCCUACGGAGGGCAGGAGUAGGGAGUCUUGCGCAAUGGACGAAAGCCUGACAAAGCCGUGCGGGGUGAAUGAUGAAGGGCUUAGGAUUGUAAAAUUCUUUGAGCGGAGACGAUAAUGACGGUACCCGGUGAAGAAGCCCCGGCUAACUACGUG